RNAcentral lists this long non-coding RNA (299 nucleotides) under Malus domestica (apple). RNAcentral's name for it is "long non-coding RNA (MDOM_LNC006719)". The record is from RNAcentral. Lineage: Eukaryota; Viridiplantae; Streptophyta; Magnoliopsida; Rosales; Rosaceae.
AAUGAAAAUUUUUUUUUUUCAACGCCACCUGUAUAUUUGUUGCCUCGGGUUAAUGAAAUUUUUUUUUUUUCAACGCCACCUGUAUAUUUGUUGCCUCGGGUUAAUGAAACUUUUUUUUUUCAACGCCACCUGUAUAUUUGUUGCCUCGGGUUAAUGAUAACUUUUUUUUUUCAACGCCAUAUGUAUAUUUGUUGCCUCGGGUUAAUGAUUUAGUUAAUUUGUUUUUUGUUUUUUUUUUGUUUGGAUAGAUAUGGAUCGAAGGAAGCUUUCAUUGAUCUUAUUGUUAGAGAUGUCUUAUU